GGGGAAUUUUGCACAAUGGGGGAAACCCUGAUGCAGCAACGCCGCGUGAGUGAAGAAGGCCUUCGGGUUGUAAAGCUCUUUCGGCCAAGAAGAAGGGUAUUGCAGCUAAUAUCUGCAGCACUUGACGGUAUUGGAACAAGAAGCACCGGCUAAUUUCGUGCCAGCAGCCGCGGUAAUACGAGAGGUGCAAGCGUUAUUCGGAAUGACUGGGUGUAAAGGGCGCGUAGGCGGAUAAAGAAGUCAACUGUGAAAACCCUAGGCUUAACCUGGGACGUGCAGUUGAAACCAUUUAUCUUGAAUGUCGGAGAGGGUGGCGGAAUUCCGGGUGUAGAAGUGAAAUUCGUAGAGAUCCGGAGGAACACCAGAGGCGAAGGCGGCUACCUGGCCGUGCAUUGACGCUGAGGCGCGAAAGCGUGGGGAGCAAAC
This 426-nucleotide ribosomal RNA is filed under the name uncultured bacterium. RNAcentral describes it as "bacterial SSU rRNA". It matches the Rfam family "Bacterial small subunit ribosomal RNA", at positions 356 to 773 of the family's 1533-position model. The record is from RNAcentral.